ACGUAUCAGAAGUGCGAAUGCUGACAUGAGUAACGAUAAGGGGGGUGAAAAACCUCCCCGCCGAAAGAUCAAGGUUUCCUGUCCAACGUUAAUCGGGACAGGGUGAGUCGGCCCCUAAGGCGAGGGCGAAAGCCGUAGUCGAUGGGAAAUCGGUUAAAAUUCCGAUACCGAUUCUUACUGCGAUGGAGAGACGGAGAAGGCUAGGCUAGCACGGCGUUGGUUGUCCGUGUUUAAGCGUGUAGGUAGGGGGAUUAGGUAAAUCCGGUCCCUCGUUAAUCUGAGACGCGAUGACGAUCCUGAAGGGAAACCUGACGGAGAAGUAGUCGAUGCCAUACUUCCAGGAAAAUCUUCUAAGCUUCAGGUAAGAAUUGACCGUACUGUAAACCGACACAGGUGAUCAGGUAGAGAAUACCAAGGCGCUUGAGAGAA
RNAcentral lists this ribosomal RNA (429 nucleotides) under Pseudo-nitzschia fraudulenta. RNAcentral describes it as "partial Bacterial large subunit ribosomal RNA". It matches the Rfam family "Bacterial large subunit ribosomal RNA", at positions 1277 to 1698 of the family's 2925-position model. The record is from RNAcentral. Lineage: Eukaryota; Bacillariophyta; Bacillariophyceae; Bacillariales; Bacillariaceae.